RNAcentral lists this long non-coding RNA (211 nucleotides) under Elaeis guineensis (African oil palm). RNAcentral's name for it is "long non-coding RNA (EGUI_LNC070875)". The record is from RNAcentral. Lineage: Eukaryota; Viridiplantae; Streptophyta; Magnoliopsida; Arecales; Arecaceae.
UGGCCGCUUUUGUUUAUACCAGGAAGCCUUCUACAUCGGGCUUCGACUUCCACUCCCACCUUUUGUUUUUGCUCUUUUUUAUUUUUUAAAUAUUUCUCUAGUUUCUGUAGCACCGAACUCCUUUAGGUUUCUGAUAGGAUUUCUUUUCCUCUAUCAUUUAGCUGAAGUUCGGCCAACUCUUCUCUGGCCAUGGAGGCCGUAGAAAGGCAUA